Molecule: ribosomal RNA, 468 nt
Filed under: uncultured bacterium
Lineage: Bacteria
Description: partial 16S ribosomal RNA
Rfam family: Bacterial small subunit ribosomal RNA
Source: RNAcentral
GACGAACGCUGGCGGCGUGCUUAACACAUGCAAGUCGAACGGAAAGGCCCUGCUUUUGUGGGGUGCUCGAGUGGCGAACGGGUGAGUAACACGUGAGUAACCUGCCCUUGACUUUGGGAUAACUUCAGGAAACUGGGGCUAAUACCGGAUAGGAGCUCCUGCUGCAUGGUGGGGGUUGGAAAGUUUCGGCGGUUGGGGAUGGACUCGCGGCUUAUCAGCUUGUUGGUGGGGUAGUGGCUUACCAAGGCUUUGACGGGUAGCCGGCCUGAGAGGGUGACCGGCCACAUUGGGACUGAGAUACGGCCCAGACUCCUACGGGAGGCAGCAGCGGGGAAUAUUGCACAAUGGGCGGAAGCCUGAUGCAGCAACGCCGCGUGCGGGAUGACGGCCUUCGGGUUGUAAACCGCUUUCGCCUGUGACGAAGCGUGAGUGACGGUAAUGGGUAAGGAAGCACCGGCUAACUACGUG